GACGAACGCUGGCGGCGUGCUUAACACAUGCAAGUCGAACGGAAAGGCCCUGCUUUUGUGGGGUGCUCGAGUGGCGAACGGGUGAGUAACACGUGAGUAACCUGCCCUUGACUUUGGGAUAACUUCAGGAAACUGGGGCUAAUACCGGAUAGGAGCUCCUGCUGCAUGGUGGGGGUUGGAAAGUUUCGGCGGUUGGGGAUGGACUCGCGGCUUAUCAGCUUGUUGGUGGGGUAGUGGCUUACCAAGGCUUUGACGGGUAGCCGGCCCGGGAGGGUGACCGGGCACCAUGGGACUGAGGUACGGCCCAGAAUGCAAACGGGGGCAACAGGGGGGAAUUUUGCACAACGGGCGGAAGCCUGAUGCAGCAACGCUGCGUGCGGGAUGACGGCCUUCGGGUUGUAAACCGCUUUCGCCUGUGACGAAGCGUGAGUGACGGUAAUGGGUAAAGAAGCACCGGCUAACUACGUG
This 468-nucleotide ribosomal RNA is filed under the name uncultured bacterium. RNAcentral describes it as "partial 16S ribosomal RNA". It matches the Rfam family "Bacterial small subunit ribosomal RNA", at positions 28 to 507 of the family's 1533-position model. The record is from RNAcentral.